CGGCCCCGCCUCCCACCUCCCCGACGUCCAGCUGUGCCGCCACCUCCCACCUCCCCGGCGACCAGCCGCGGCCCGCCCCCCACCUCACCGGUUUCCAGCCGUGCCCCCGCCUCCCACCUCCCCGGCUACCAACCGCGGCUCUGCCCCCUCUCCCCCUCCCACCUACCGGCGACUCGCCGCGCCCACUUCCUACCUACAGGCGAAAAUACCGCGCCCCCGCCGGCCGCCGCGUCCACCGCCCCGCACCUGCAGCCAUGACCACCAACCACCACGCUGGCGACCGCUUCCUCUCUGAUUUUAGGCAUCGCCGGGUCCCGUCCCCUUCCUUCCACGCGCUGUCGACCGCUCCCUGCUGAUUCCACACGUCGCCACCCCAUCCCCUGCUUCCACGCGCUGAUGUCCUCUCUGCUUCCACCGCGUCGGCAGCUCACCCCCUGCUUCCACUUCCAUUCGCCGCCUCUGAAUCCCGCGCACUACCGCCCUCCCUUACCCCCUGCAGCUCGCCGUGUGCAAGUUCUUCAGUCCAAGUUCUCCGGCGAGCUCGUUCAAGUUCAGAAAGUUUUGGACUAAUCAUUCAAGUUCUUUAGUAUAGAAGGUUCAGAAAGUUUUGUUCCUGAAACUGCACAUAUUUGGAGUACACCAAAUAUAUAUGUAUUUCUGAAUUUUGCUCUUGUGUAACAGUUCAACAUGUACUAUGCCAUCAAUUCAUAAUGGGAAGGCAGUAAACAGUUCAAUACUUGUGUGUUAAAAACAUAACAGUAUAGAGAAAACUUUCGUAGUAGUUCGAUGGAGUAAAUCGCAUCAGUUCUGACUCGGAUCCAUUCUUGCCUACAACGCAUUGAAAAAUCAAUUUUUUUGCCUUUGUUCAGGCUUGAGAAGCAUGUAUCUCUAGGAUAUGUGCCAUGUUAAACUUGAGUUGUUUUCAGUUAACACAGACUGACUGUCUCUUAAGCCUAAACUAAAAUUUAUUUAUGUGAGAGAAACGUGAACUGAAGUUGUUCCCAAGUAAAAGAAACCUCAACUUGUUUGAGCAUAUGCUGGUUAGGAUAAUUGUAAUUACUUUAGCUCUCGUCAAUGGUAACAGAACAAUUUUUUUGGCUCCUCUUAAAUGUAACUUGAAGAACGUUAGGGCUGAGGUUGGGCAUUGUUCAUCAAUGGUAAGUUGUUCAUAGGGCCGGCCGGCAGAAAAUUUCCAAAGUUCAACUAUGUUGCUAGAGCUUCAGUCCAACUAUGUUGCUUCUACGAUUUUCCUUAUGCAGAAAAUCACACUGAAGAACGUUGAACUAUGUUUCAUCUAUGAACUUAACCGUGUUUGUUCUUUGAGCUAAAAUUCCUAGAGCUUCAGUCCAACUUUUGGUGAUUCUUGUACCUAUUGUUCAGAAAUCAAUGGUAAAAAUUUCUGAUAGCAGCAAUGCCAUGCUCCCAGCCCACCGAGACUGAAUCAUUCGACACCAUUGCUCUGCACAGCGUGGCUCGAUGUGCAGCCCGCCGGCUCCGUCGUGUACAUCCAGACAAGACACUAUGGUGUAUAAUUUAAUGCAUGAAGCUAAACUCCAAUACUUGCAUCCGCCACCCCAACGCCGGCGUGUUCCCUUAGUCCUCUCUCGACAAAUCCAACAGUACAGGUUCUCUGGUGCGCCAAGUGUUGCCUGCGGCGAUGCCUGCAUCAUGGCCCAUUGAGGAGAUCUUGUGUAUUCCACAUAGAAGAAAUAUUGUCAGUUCAUGAAUAGAGAAUUUCUAUACCAGACUUAAUAUUAGUUCGCACAAGUAGCAAAUGGGAUUGACUGGGAGUGAUCCCUGAACCAUUUCAUUAAAGUCCAUGGUUUCCAACAACGCUAAUGCUACUAGAAAGGAGCUGGAGGUGAUGAAGCCUCUUGGCUUCUCCAAUUAGCAUGUUUGGCCAGUCCUGAAGCUCCUCCUCAAGCUCUUCGAUGAUGACUGGGCGCCCAUCGAGGACGAGAGCUACCGCAUCCUUGUUGACACCAUACUGGAUGGAAAAAGCAAUGAACCAAUACCUACCACUACCCGUCAUGUAAAAAAUGCUACUUUCGUUUUUGUUAGCCUUCCUUAAUUACCACUUGAUGCUCACCUUUCCAAUUGCAGUUUCCAAAAAAUUUUAGAGCUUCAGUCCAACUAUGUUGCUUCUGCGAUUAUCCAUAUGUAGAAAAUCACACUAAAGAUUGUUUUGUUCUCUGAACCUAAACACAUUUGUUCUUUGAGCUUAAAUGCAUUUAUUCUCCAAACAUAAACAUGAUGGUUCUCUGAACUUAAGUGUGUGUGUUCUAUGUGUAUUCGGUGUGUGUUAGAGAACAAUAUGAUGUAUUUUGUUCUUGUAGAAUAAAAAUAUGAUGUAUGCAUUGCUUCUUGGCCCAGCUGAGAGAACCCUCAUGUUCAAAAGUAUAAAGUACUUUUGAAGCAAUUCCUAGUGUCUUUCGAAGCAUUCAUGGUUAAAAAGCAACGACAACCUCCUCCGUUCGAGUUGAGCAUUGGUCAUCGUUCGAGUUGAGGACUAGGUGCCGUCCAAGUUCAAAGAGGGAUGUAUGCAAGUA
Triticum aestivum (bread wheat) is the source of this 2549-nucleotide long non-coding RNA. RefSeq lists it as uncharacterized. The transcript is spliced from 3 exons. The record is from RefSeq and is a predicted model, not a curated record. Lineage: Eukaryota; Viridiplantae; Streptophyta; Magnoliopsida; Poales; Poaceae.